GAACUUCCUGAGUCACACGCCAGCCAGGUCCACUGGACGAUCCCAGCAUGCCCUGAACACACUGCAGUUGUGCUGUACACAGCACACCUUCACCCACCACCACCACGCCCACUUACAUAACACACUGAAGAGUGGACCUUCUGGCUUUGGGGACUACAGGGACCAGACAAACUCAAGGCAGAUCUGACGAUAUGUUCAUUUCUCCGAAAAGUUUUGGCUCCGGACCAGAGGUUCUUGACCUUCCUAAUGCUGCAACCCUUUAAUACAAACCAUUCGAUGCUGCUCAUAUUUCUGAAACCAAGAACGUUGGAAGAAUUUCUGCCCUCGGGCACUCUCAGUUUUUUUGUGUCCAGAUUGGCCUUCUUCCCAACUCACCAGAAACAUCAGAGAAUGAAGCUGUCUGUGGAAGGUUACCAACAAACUGGACACAAAUUCGCUGGACAUAUGAUGGAUAGAAAGAAAGGUCAAGAGGGUCCAAGCUUGGUCAGCCUCUCCAGCUCGACAGCAAAAGAAAAAACUUAAAAUCUCUUCUCGUAUACUGUAGGCUUGAAUUCAAGGCAUUUUUUUUUUGGUCUGGUGGCCUUUGACCUUUCCCCUGAAUGGAACGGUCACUGGGCAAGGCCAGGCUCUCAUUUGGCAGGGAGGACACACUGCUCUUGAGCUCUGCUCUUUCUCCAACAUAAGAUCCCAGAAACAUUAUGUUGACUGAGAUGGACCACUCUACUAGGGUAUAGGGCGCUCUCAGUGGCACUAACUGGCCCUGCCCUUGUUAGGAAGGGUGGUGAUGGGGUGAUGUGUGUUCAUAAGGAGACAUUACA
Long non-coding RNA from Mus pahari (shrew mouse), 818 nucleotides. RefSeq lists it as uncharacterized. NCBI's taxonomy places the organism in Eukaryota, Metazoa, Chordata, Mammalia, Rodentia, Muridae. The record is from RefSeq and is a predicted model, not a curated record. The transcript has 3 exons.